RNAcentral lists this microRNA precursor (66 nucleotides) under Ixodes scapularis (black-legged tick). RNAcentral's name for it is "miRNA". Lineage: Eukaryota; Metazoa; Arthropoda; Arachnida; Ixodida; Ixodidae. The record is from RNAcentral.
AUGUAUGUAAGUAUGCAUGUAUGCAUGCAUGCAUGCACGUAUGUAUGACUGUAUUUACGUGUGUGU